AGAGUUUGAUCCUGGCUCAGGAUGAACGCUGGCGGCGUGCUUAACACAUGCAAGUCGAACGGUGAAGCCCCGCUUGCGGGGUGGAUCAGUGGCGAACGGGUGAGUAACACGUGAGCAACCUGCCCCUGACUCUGGGAUAAGCGCUGGAAACGGCGUCUAAUACUGGAUACGAGACGUGAUCGCAUGGUCAACGUUUGGAAAGAUUUUUCGGUUGGGGAUGGGCUCGCGGCCUAUCAGCUUGUUGGUGAGGUAAUGGCUCACCAAGGCGUCGACGGGUAGCCGGCCUGAGAGGGUGACCGGCCACACUGGGACUGAGACACGGCCCAGACUCCUACGGGAGGCAGCAGUGGGGAAUAUUGCACAAUGGGCGCAAGCCUGAUGCAGCAACGCCGCGUGAGGGAUGACGGCCUUCGGGUUGUAAACCUCUUUUAGCAGGGAAGAAGCGAGAGUGACGGUACCUGCAGAAAAAGCACCGGCUAACUACGUG
Molecule: ribosomal RNA, 487 nt
Filed under: uncultured Microbacterium sp.
Lineage: Bacteria; Bacillati; Actinomycetota; Actinomycetes; Micrococcales; Microbacteriaceae
Description: bacterial SSU rRNA
Rfam family: Bacterial small subunit ribosomal RNA
Source: RNAcentral